This 379-nucleotide ribosomal RNA is filed under the name uncultured bacterium. RNAcentral describes it as "bacterial SSU rRNA". It matches the Rfam family "Bacterial small subunit ribosomal RNA", at positions 790 to 1167 of the family's 1533-position model. The record is from RNAcentral.
GUAGUCCACGCCCUAAACGAUGCGAACUGGACGUUGGGAGCAAUCAGGCUCUCAGUGUCGAAGCUAACGCGUUAAGUUCGCCGCCUGGGGAGUACGGUCGCAAGACUGAAACUCAAAGGAAUUGACGGGGGCCCGCACAAGCGGUGGAGUAUGUGGUUUAAUUCGAUGCAACGCGAAGAACCUUACCUGGCCUUGACAUCCACGGAAGUCUGCAGAGAUGCGGAUGUGCCUUCGGGAACCGUGAGACAGGUGCUGCAUGGCUGUCGUCAGCUCGUGUCGUGAGAUGUUGGGUUAAGUCCCGCAACGAGCGCAACCCUUGUCCUUAGUUGCCAGCGCGUAAUGGCGGGAACUCUAAGGAGACUGCCGGUGACAAACCGGA